This 440-nucleotide ribosomal RNA is filed under the name uncultured bacterium. RNAcentral's name for it is "partial 16S ribosomal RNA". It matches the Rfam family "Bacterial small subunit ribosomal RNA", at positions 338 to 795 of the family's 1533-position model. The record is from RNAcentral.
CCUACGGGGGGCAGCAGUAGGGAAUAUUGCUCAAUGGGGGAAACCCUGAAGCAGCAACGCCGCGUGGAGGAUGAAGGUUUUCGGAUUGUAAACUUCUUUCGUUAGAGAAGAUAAUGACGGUAUCUAAUGAAGAAGCACCGGCUAACUCCGUGCCAGCAGCCGCGGUAAUACGGAGGGGGCAAGCGUUAUUCGGAAUUACUGGGCGUAAAGAGCGCGUAGGCGGGAUAGCAAGUCAGAUGUGAAAUCCUAGGGCUUAACCAUAGAACUGCAUUUGAAACUGUUAGUCUAGAGUGUGGGAGAGGUAAGUGGAAUUCUUGGUGUAGGGGUAAAAUCCGUAGAGAUCAAGAGGAAUACUCGUUGCGAAGGCGACCUGCUGGAACAUAACUGACGCUGAUGCGCGAAAGCGUGGGGAGCAAACAGGAUUAGAUACCCCAGUAGUC